UACCACCUUUGAUUUUGAAGUGAUAUCCAAAAACAAAGAAAAGAUAUAGGAGUUGUAUACUAAGACUUUGAAGAACUUUUAAAGGAUGAAUUUUUUAAAGAAGAUUCAAAGAGAAUGGAAAAAUAAGCCUUUUUGAAGAAGAUGGAGUAAAGGCUAAGAAAUCAAAUGGCUCCAAAUUAAUUAAUUAACAAAUUUGAGACUAAAUUUAGAUAAUUGCUAUAACAAGAGAGCUAGCUUUUAGAAACAAGAAAAACUAUGUUAUUCUUGUAAAUAACU
Molecule: long non-coding RNA, 276 nt
Filed under: Physcomitrium patens
Lineage: Eukaryota; Viridiplantae; Streptophyta; Bryopsida; Funariales; Funariaceae
Description: long non-coding RNA (PPAT_LNC011355)
Source: RNAcentral